RNAcentral lists this ribosomal RNA (404 nucleotides) under uncultured Gammaproteobacteria bacterium. Its description in RNAcentral is "bacterial SSU rRNA". It matches the Rfam family "Bacterial small subunit ribosomal RNA", at positions 100 to 496 of the family's 1533-position model. The record is from RNAcentral. Lineage: Bacteria; Pseudomonadati; Pseudomonadota; Gammaproteobacteria.
GGACGGGUGAGUAACGCGUAGGAAUCUACCGAGUAGUGGGGGACAACAGUUGGAAACGACUGCUAAUACCGCAUAAUCCCUGAGGGGGAAAGGAGGGGAUCUGUUUACAGACCUUUCGCUAUUUGAUGAGCCUGCGUGAGAUUAGCUAGUUGGUGAGGUAAUGGCUCACCAAGGCGACGAUCUCUAGCUGGUCUGAGAGGAUGAUCAGCCACACUGGAACUGAGACACGGUCCAGACUCCUACGGGAGGCAGCAGUGGGGAAUAUUGCACAAUGGGGGAAACCCUGAUGCAGCCAUGCCGCGUGUGUGAAGAAGGCCUUCGGGUUGUAAAGCACUUUCAGCGAGGAGGAAAGGAGUAUGUUUAAUAAACGUGCUCUGUGACGUUACUCGCAGAAGAAGCACCGG